AGAGGCUGGGACGGGUGUUAGCUGGUGAAGAAGUCACGUUGCCUGAUGCUGCAAAACAACCUAUUCAGAACCUUCAUGCGGAGGUUGAAAUCGUUACUUCUUGGCUGAGUGAAUUUGAAGAUGAUAUCUCUUGCCUUUUGAUGCAAAAAAUAGGAGAAGUUGAAAUUGACAACCCAGAUCUUGGGACCGUUAUGGAUGAAAUCAAUUGCUUUACUUAUGAAUCUGAGAAGUUCAUUGACACAUUCAUCAACAGCAUUACUCAACAGAAGAGACAAAGCAGGCGUAGCAAGGACAUUUGUGAUGCUCUGCUAGGACUCCAAAGCAAAAUCAUUGAUAUAAAACAACGGAUGCAACAAGUUCAGCACUUCGAUUCCGGAAUCAUUGAUGAAGUCAAAUCAAUUGAAGCUGAAGCCGGUAAUUUUCUUGCAUCUUCAUCGUCUAAGAAUAGGGACACGGUGGGUCUAGAUGAUAGAAUGGAGGAUUUGUUAGAUCUAUUGAUAGAAGGACCACAUCAACUUUUAGCAGUGGCCAUACUUGAUAGCAUUGGAUUGGACAAGACGGCUUUCGUCGCAGAAGCUUACAGCAGCAACUAUGUGAAGCAUUAUUUUGAUUGUCACGCUUGGGUUCCAGAGCCUCACAGCUAUGAUGCUCACCGAAUAUUAGAUAUCAUUAUUAAGUUUCUAAUGCCUUCAUCUAGACUGAGUGAAAUAAAGGAUAAAAAUUAUGAAAUAAAAAAAAUAUUCCUCGUGAAUAUCUAAUGACCAAGCGGUAUUUGAUUAUUUUUUUAUCAUGUGUGGAGAAUAUCAGCAUGGGAUGUUAUUCGAAAAAUACUUCCCGAUAAUCAGAAUGGAAGUAGAGUAUUAAUAACACUCGCUCAAAUUAAGAUUGUCACCUCAUUUCAGUUCGAAAACGGAGAGAACAUUGGGCUUGAUUUUGUGCCCACUGGAGGACUAUUGAGAGCUACAUACCAAGGAUGGCCUUUCCACAUCUUGUAUCAUGGAAGCAUCUCAUUGGAAGAAAAUAUAGACAAAGUAUUGACCAUGUCCCUUGGGCUUCAAUGUAUCAUAUAUUGUAUGUCACCUUUUUGCUUGAAACCUUGUUUUCUCUACUUCUCAGUGUUUCCCGCACACUUAGAGAUAUCCACCAGGCAUGUAUAUCAACUGUGGAUAGCUGAAGGUUUCAUUGAAGACAAUAAUGAGGCAACUGCUAAGAAGUACUUAGAGCAACUAAUCAACAGAGGCUUUGUCGAAGCAAAUAAGAGAAGAGCUGGAGGCACAAUCAACACAUGCUCUAUUCCCGGUCGUUGCCGUCCUGUAUUGUUAGGAGUGGCUUCCAAGGUGGAAUUUAUCUUUUCCCCUUUCAUGGAUAUAGAAGGUAAAUCAUAAAAAAAUGUCAAACGUUUCUACACUUUAGAACAACAGAGUGAUUUUGCUUGCUUAGAUGAUUAUGACUCGCAACUGCAUUCUUUCUUGUGCUGCUCUCCAGAAAGCCGCCACAUUGACCCCAUAGAUUGGGAGAAAAUUUGUGGAAUGUUCAAACUUCUCAGAGUGUUGGACUUGGAAUCUCUUGUUCUCAUCUAGUAUCCAUCCGGAAUUGAAAAUUUAUUUCUUUUGAGAUAUUUGAAGUUGAAUAUCCCUUCCCUCAAAAGCCUGUCUUCCUCAUUAUUAAGCAAUCUUCUGAACCUCUACACCCUAGACAUGCCCUUUAGCUAUAUAGAUCAUACGGCAGAUGAAUUUUGGAAGAUGAAAAAACUCAGACAUCUAAAUUUUGGGUCAAUCACACUUCCUGCGCAUCCAGGAAAAUACUGUGGCUCUCUGGAAAAUCUAAAUUUCAUUUCAGCCUUGCACAUUUGCUGCUGUAUUGAAGAUAUAUUAGGCAGGCUACUUAAUCUUCAAAAUCUCUGAAUGCGGGGAGAUUUAAGUUAUGAUCAAUCUUUGCUGUCUCAAAGUCUCUGCAGAUUGAGCUGUCUCAAGUCAUUGAAGCUGGCGAAUGAAAGCAAGAUGCCAUGGCUCUCCAAAAUCGUCCUUGCUGAAUACCUAUUUCCUCAUAGUCUAACCCACUUGAGUUUUUCUAAUACUGACCGAAUGGAUGAUCCCAUGCCGGUGCUAGAAACGUUGCCGCUUCUUCAAGUGCUCAAACUGAAGCAAAACUCGUAUUCAUACAGAAAGCUGACUUCUGGACUAUGGGGAAUGCAGCCAUGCCAAAACUAGAAUGCUUGAUUAUCAACCCUUGUGCUUACUUGAAAAAGAUGCCUGAACAUCUCUGGUGCAUAAAGAGCUUAAACAAGUUCGAUUGCUGGUGGCCUCAACCAGAGCUGAGACAAAAGCUACGGGAAUUUGAGGAUAAGGAACAGUGUGGCAUUCAACUAUAUCCUUAUGGAAUUUUUUUUUAUUACAUGAGACUAUUGCUCAAACUACAACUCAUAUUACAUGAGGUUAUAACUGAUAUUUAUAAAUCAGACUAUUACUGGGACCAACUUACAUCAAUGCUAAUGGAGCUCUACCCAAAUUUUAACCCUCACAAAUAUUCGAGGAAUGUCUACUCCUCACUCUUGGGUAAGAAGGAAGACUACCUUCACUCAAUUUUUAAUGAAGGAAGGAAAUACCCCCACAAUGCAUUUGUGGGGGUUCGAACUGCUGCCCUCCAACUUGGAGGGCAGCAACUCUAACCACUCGGCCUUUGGCCGAGUGGCUAUCCUUACGGAAUUUGAUUAGCCCCUAUUGAACUUGAUGUAUGUUUCUCAUUUUACACAAUUUCUUCAAAUUUUAAUUAUUUAUCCAAUUUCAUAUAUUUUUUCCCCUUUUCUUCAAUACAAAAAUGGUUAUACAAAUUGUUUUCUUCUAAUUUGCCUCAACAUUAAAUACCCUUUAGAGUUUCUAAUGCUCACCCCAAUCAUCAACCCUCUUCAAUACAUCGAUGUUCAUUUGUUUUAGUAGUUAAGAAAAAAAAUAUAUAAUUUAGAUUUCUUAUUUUUCACAAUUUCUUCAAUGACUUGUGUAGGUGAAAUUAGAGCAAAAAUGUCAAGACCCAACCCAGACCUGGCAAGAUAUUGUCCGCUUUACGCCCAUACACCCCAAGAACAAAUCCGUGCGGGCCUUGUUAAGGCCCAAAGCGAACAAUAUCUUGCCAGGUCUGGGUUGGGUCUUGACAUUAUGGUAUCAGAGUGGCUUCGCGUGUCCACUUGUGCGAUGGUGGGGCAAACCUCAGCGAGGACGCUGAGUCCCCAAGGAGGGGUGUAUGUAACACCCUAGGCAAAUCCCAAAUCGGCAAAGCACGGGAGAGAUGAUGAGUUUAUAAGGGGUGAUCCACACCUUAAUUGGCAAGACACGUUUUGGGGUGUAUGGGCGCCCCAAGAACAAAUCCGUGCGGGCCUUGUUAAGGCCCAAAGCGGACAAUAUCUUGCCAGGUCUGGGUUGGGUCUUGACAUUAUGGUAUCAGAGCGGCUCCACGUGUACUCUUGAGCGAUGGUGGGGCAAACCUCGGCGAGGACGCUGAGUCCCCAAGGGGGUGUGUAUGUAACACCCUAGGCGAAUCCCACAUCGACAAAGCACGGGAGAGAUACUGGGUUUAUAAGGGGUGAUCCACACAUUAAUUGGCAAGAUGCGUUUUGGGGUGUAUGAGCACCCCAAGAACAAAUCUGUGCAGGCCUUGUUAAGGCCCAAAGCGGACAAUAUCUUGCCAGGUCUGGGUUGGGUCUUGACAUUAUGGUAUCAAAGCGGCUCCGCAUGUCCUCUCAAGCGAUGGUGGGGCAAACCUCAGCGAGGACGCUGAGUCCCCAAGGGGAGGUGUAUGUAACACCCUAGGCAAAUCCCACAUCGGCAAAGCACGGGAGCGAUGUUGGGUUUAUAAGGGGUGAUCCACACCUUAAUUGGCAAGACGGGUUUUGGGGUGUAUGGGCGCCCUAAGAAAAAAUUCGUGACAAGAAAACAUCAUGACUGUAGCCCGAGCUUCAAUUUCAACCAGAACCUUUCCGUCUUCACAUUUGCUGUCUACACAAAUAAGUCUUGAUCCUACAGUGGUGGACUUUUUUUGGUUUCUUUGUUUCCGCUGUCUAUUCAUAAAUAAGAAGUUUUGUUUUGGCUUUUCAGUUGAUAGUUCAUUGAUUUGUGCUUCGGCCAUGGUUUCGUUAAUUGUGUACAAAAAAUAAUUACUAUUUGUGAUGCUUGCUAGUGUUUGGGUUGAGUUGAAUGUAUUUUCUGUCUUUGUUCUGUUGCUUGCUCUGAAAUCCUGUUUCAAAGGAUGGGCAAGUCUGGCACUCAAUAGGUUCCGUUUAUUUCCAGAAAAGAUUAAUUAUUGAUGAACUUCACACUUGGCUGAAUGUCUUAGUAAACGUUCUUGUGGAGAAAUCCUAAUACCCGCUUAGGCAAUACAAUGAGGCAGAAAUACUAAUACUGCUGUACAUGUGUUGAUUGAUUAACAGCUUUGUUCUCUGAUAUUCUUUCUUUAUCUGUUGCAGAAAUUCCUUCAAUAUGAUUGAUAGUUGCUACUAAUUAUAGAAGCAUCCCUCCUUUGGCUCAUUCAAUGGAAUAUGAAAGACAGAUUACUGAGACAAAGUCACGCUUCAUUACCUUCCCAAAGAAAGUUGAAGUUUGGGCUGCGUACUUGGGAGUGGAAUGAAGAGCGGCAGCAAAAUGAUUACAAGGAUUGCCAUUUACAGGGGCACUUUUGUGACUACUGAUGUGUCCCUCUAAUGGUUCAAUAAAUUGAAACCACGUCUAGUAAAAGCUAGAAAAACGCCGUGUUAUAGUAAGCAUCGACUUUCAAUAAUAGAAUUUUGUGUGCAAGUGUGAAGUUCAUCAAUAAUCAAUCUUUAUAACUAUUGCCUACGGUAUAAAAAUAUUUAUAAAAGAGCAAGUAAUUGCAAUCCCUCGUUCAAAUUUAUAACAAAUCAACUAUAAAAAUAUUCAGAGCAAAAUUCAAGAUUAAAUUAUGUUCUAUAUUGGAUCACACGUUAAAAUAGUUAUCAAGAUAUGCAUGUAUAUAAUUAAAUAAAUGUAGAAAUUUAAUUUGGUUUGUUAGCAUUCCAUUAAGAAUAAAUUUAAACAAUUAACUAAUUAAAUCCUCGUUGAAUAAUUAUUAAGCUUCAUUUAAACUAAUAAAAUAUGUUUGUGAUAUGAUAUCUCAUAACAAAUUAACUAACGACUUUGAAAUUUAUGCUAUCUAUCUCAUGAAAUUUAUCAAACUCAUACUUGAUUCUUAGAUCAAGUUACAAAAAUCGUGUGAGGUGAAUCAGUAGAUUAAGGGCUAGCUCAAGUGAAGCUUUGAGGCAGCAGAAUCAACACAUGCCACAUUUUAAUAUUGUCAUUAUUAUUAGCAGUGUAUCAAAUUUGAAAAGUAAUUCCAGUUGUCUUUGUUUCAGCUGUGUACUCAUUAAGUAAGAGAUUUCAUUUCAGCAGAGAGUUGACUGUGUAUAAAAAUAAAGAAUGUUUGUGAUGCUUUCUAGUCUUGGAUUAAGUGGGAUUAAUGUAUUUUCUAUAAAAACUGAUCAAAAAUUUCCUCCCAUGGAUGCAAGCUAAUGCAAAUUAGUUGAACCACGUUGAAUUGAUUUUUCCUCUGUUGGUUCUUUCAAUUCUUUAAUUCAAUUUGAUCUUAAUUGCUUUUUGUUCUUUCAUCAUUAUCUUGUUUCAAUUCCAUUUUCAAUUGAGCUUCAAAUUAGUUCAUUCUUGGUAGCAUCUUGAUUGAUUGGAUUGUGAUAUUGGGCAGCAACUGAGGUAUCUCUGGUUUUAAGCACUCCAGUUGCUACAGUUAGGCACUCAAUCAAUAUGCUUUGUUCAUUUACAGAAGAGAUUUGAUUAUUGAUGAACUUCAUACUUGCCUGACUCUGUAAAGAAAUUGUAUGAAUCAAUAAUUUAUCAAUGAGUAACGUUACAAUUUAUACAAGUCAAGCAUACUUGGAUGAUAAGCCAAACACUAUAAGAUAAGUCAUAGCCUAUAAGAUAAAUACAAGCUAAGCCAUAGCCUAUAUGAUAAUUACAAGAUAACGGUAAAGAGAUAUAAGAUAAGAUUACAAGUUAUUGAAACAGAGAGUAGUUAUCUAUGUACAUGUUUGGCUAAUACUCUGAUCCCGUGUAGUGGGUUGGGAGGAUUACAUGGAGAUGCUAUUAAAGCUAAGGCAUAAGGCAGAGAUUAACAAACACAAUGAUUAGCAGUAGGUCGUUAUUAAAUAUUAUUUAACGUGAGGAACAAGAUUUUCAGCCUCGCUUCAUAGUGCUAACUACUUCGACUUUGUCUGUUACUUGGAAACUUUGGUGCCUUCCAUGACAAUCAUUUUGUGGCAGCACAGUGAACGAUUCUGUUGCUUUUGCUUUCAAUGAACAGGGCUACCUUACCAGAUAGGGUUACCAUUUUAUUAAUUGCAAGUGGUAGCUUAUUUAUUCAUUACUUUUGUCUUCUGUGAAUAUAAAUCACUGACUAUGUAAUCAUAAUAAUUUUUUAAUAAGGAGUAUGAUGAAAAUUAAAGACAAAUAGUGAUUUUGUAAUUAUUUAUUAUGCUCCAAGUCAAUAGAUAUCACAUCAACCCCCAAUAUUUUCUUUGCAACUACUUUCUUAUUGUACCCAUUAUCAAAAUUCUAUAAUAAAUGUGUAGGAGAAACUACUGACUAAACUAACAUGCUUGCACUACUGGAGUACUGAGAGAAAGAGUUGUGUAGGUCAACCUAAGACCAGUUUCAUUCAUCAACAAUAAAUGUUUCAGUGGAUACAUAAAACUUUUUGCACGCCAGUAAGUGGUAGACGUGAUUUUGCAUUUUUCCACAGCUUAAAUUACUAAAGAUCUUGCUCUGUUCUUUUCUUUUCAAAUAGGCCUUAUGGUCCCGGUGGAAUUGUUUUGACCUUUUCUUUCUUGAAAGUGGAUGUAUAAUACAUAUUGGUCUUGAUUGAUCCUUGAUCAAGACCUAUUUAUUCUCUUAUGCUUUAUUCUUUUUACAACAUAUGGAGAACAGUGUAUUGUAAGAUUCAUUUACCGUAGUCCUCUGCCUUGAUCUGUUCUAAUUUGAGAGUCAACAAUCUCAAUUCAAUUUCUUGAAUGGAGUACUAGCUAAGAGAACGGAGGUAGGGGAGGUUUAAAGCAAAGUUUCUUUCCAACUCUCUGUUUUUAACUAUUUCUUUGCAUGCUACAGGACUGAUUACAGGGUGGUACCGAGAGAGGAGGAGAUAUGGACAUCAACUUCAUGCUAUUUUCCGAGAGGCUGGGACGGGUGUUAGCUGGUGAAGAAGUCACGUUGCUUGAUGCUGCAAAACAACAUAUUCAGAACCUUCAUGCCGAGACUGAAAUCGUUACUUCUUGGCUGAGGGAAUUUGAAGAUGAUAUCUCCUGCCUUCUGAUGCAAAAAAUAGGAGAAGUUGAAAUUGAUGACCCUGAUCUCGGGAACAUUAUGGAUGAAAUCAAUUGCUUUACGUAUGAAUCUGAGAAGGUGAUUAACACAUUCAUCAACAGCAUCAGUGAACA
Molecule: long non-coding RNA, 7447 nt
Filed under: Citrus x clementina
Lineage: Eukaryota; Viridiplantae; Streptophyta; Magnoliopsida; Sapindales; Rutaceae
Description: Citrus clementina (C. clementina) long non-coding RNA (CCLE_LNC006684)
Source: RNAcentral